AGCCUUCUGUAUUUGUUCUGAGAUUUCAUCAGCGAUCAAACUGUUGGGGCUGAUGCAACUUCACAGAUAAGUGAAGUG
RNAcentral lists this microRNA precursor (78 nucleotides) under Trichobilharzia regenti. Its description in RNAcentral is "mir-3492 microRNA precursor family". It matches the Rfam family "mir-3492 microRNA precursor family". The record is from Rfam by way of RNAcentral. Lineage: Eukaryota; Metazoa; Platyhelminthes; Trematoda; Strigeidida; Schistosomatidae.